This 342-nucleotide unclassified non-coding RNA is filed under the name soil metagenome. RNAcentral's name for it is "partial contains 5.8S ribosomal RNA, internal transcribed spacer 2, and large subunit ribosomal RNA". The stretch from base 1 to 120 matches the Rfam family "5.8S ribosomal RNA", at positions 35 to 154 of the family's 154-position model. The record is from RNAcentral.
GAUGAAGAACGUAGCGAAAUGCGAUAAGUAGUGUGAAUUGCAGAAUUCAGUGAAUCAUCGAAUCUUUGAACGCACAUUGCGCCCUUUGGUAUUCCAAAGGGCAUGCCUGUUCGAGCGUCAUUUGUACCCUCAAGCUUUGCUUGGUGUUGAGCGUCUUGUCUCUAGCUUUGCUGGAGACUCGCCUUAAAGCAAUUGGCAGCCGGCCUACUGGUUUCGGAGCGCAGCACAAGUCGCACUCUCUAUCAGCAAAGGUCUAGCAUCCAUUAAGCCUUUUUUUUCAACUUUUGACCUCGGAUCAGGUAGGGAUACCCGCUGAACUUAAGCAUAUCAAUAAGCGGAGGA